RNAcentral lists this ribosomal RNA (464 nucleotides) under uncultured bacterium. RNAcentral describes it as "partial 16S ribosomal RNA". It matches the Rfam family "Bacterial small subunit ribosomal RNA", at positions 28 to 506 of the family's 1533-position model. The record is from RNAcentral.
GACGAACGCUGGCGGCGUGCUUAACACAUGCAAGUCGUACGGUAAGGCCCUUUCGGGGGUACACGAGUGGCGAACGGGUGAGUAACACGUGAGUAACCUGCCCACAACUUUGGGAUAACGCUAGGAAACUGGUGCUAAUACUGGAUAUGUGCUCCUGCUGCAUGGUGGGGGUUGGAAAGCUCCGGCGGUUGUGGAUGGACUCGCGGCCUAUCAGCUUGUUGGUGGGGUAGUGGCCUACCAAGGCGGCGACGGGUAGCCGGCCUGAGAGGGUGACCGGCCACAUUGGGACUGAGAUACGGCCCAGACUCCUACGGGAGGCAGCAGUGGGGAAUAUUGCACAAUGGGCGCAAGCCUGAUGCAGCAACGCCGCGUGCGGGAUGACGGCCUUCGGGUUGUAAACCGCUUUCAGCAGUGACGAAGCUUUUUGUGACGGGACCUGCAGAAGAAGCACCGGCUAACUACGG